This 321-nucleotide long non-coding RNA is filed under the name Brassica napus (rape). Its description in RNAcentral is "long non-coding RNA (BNAP_LNC012895)". Lineage: Eukaryota; Viridiplantae; Streptophyta; Magnoliopsida; Brassicales; Brassicaceae. The record is from RNAcentral.
GGGGUUUUCAAAGAAGUAAAUAACGUAAGAACAAGUAACAUGAUUAAGUUGUUUUGAAUUGAUUUAAUGGCGCUAGUCUAGGGUUUCUUCUUCAGGUAUGGAAAUCGCAUGCCAAACAAUUAUUCAAGUCCAGUUUAUAACAAGUCUAAACUCGGAUCACUCAGGUUGAAUCAACCCACUCUCGUGGUAUUGAUUCCUUUGCAAAUCGGUCUUGAUGCCUAAACUCUCGUUUUGAUCAAGACGUGAUAGCAAGCUUUAGAGAUCAAGUCCGAUAUGUUCACAAUACACCCUAAUAUCUACUCUCACUGACUAGGGAUGCAA